CCGGGGCUUAGGGCGGCGACGCGAACGGAGGUCGAGAUGGCGACGAGGCGGAUCUCGGCGCGGCGGACACCGUAUCCCUCCUCCGAUCGCCGCCUGACCGAGCUUCUUCAACCAUGGUACUACUCUGCAAGCAAGCAUCUUGGGAGGACCACAUGCAUUUGCCAUUUUCAGCCUGAGGCAACCCUUGCAGAGGAUACACAAACCUUGCAGAAAUCACAGCUUUUCUUCCUUCUCUCCUCCAACUCAGAUCGAAGCAAAUGUGGACGCUUGAGGCUACUCGCCAGAGCGUAGCAGUGUGCAUGUCCUGAAGGUACUCUAAGCCUCUAACUUGUUACAGCCCCAAAAAAUUCUAUUACAAUGAUACACUUGCUCGGCGUAUUCAAAAAAUAAACUAUAAUAAAAUACCACAAAAUAUACUCUAAAAUUUACGUUCUCUCCGUCAUAUUAUAAGUAGUUUUAGAUCUAGAGACUUCUUUUUUGUGUCUUGUCACAUCAGAUAUUUAGACGUUAAUUAUGAGUAUUAAAUAUAAACUGAUAACAAAACUAAUUACACGAAUAAAGACUAUUUCAUUAGAUAAAUUUUUAAAGCUUAUUUAAGCUACGAUUAGUAAAUGUUUACUGUAGCAUCACAUUCGCUAAUUAUAGACUAAUUAGAUCCAAUAGAAUCAUCUCGUGAAAUAGUCUAGAGUAUAUGGUGGGUUUUAUUAAUAGUCUAUAUUUAAUACUUGUAAUUAAUGUCCAAAUAUUCAAUGUAACAGUGACUUAAAAAAAAAGUUAGCAGGAACCAAAUAGGCUCUAAGACAUUUUAGCCUUGCGUCUAUUGCUAAUAAAUCUAGACAUAUAUACAAAAUAUGUCCUUCAUUAUAUUCAUAUGUCUACCAUAAAUCUAGAUAUAUAUAAAAAAAAUAUAUAUUAAUACGUAUAUAAAAUAUAUAUAUAUUAAUACGUGGGAUGAAUAUGAACAUCGAAAGUCUCGUAACAUGAACAGGUGAGUAUUAAAAUUUACGUUAGCCACCCAGAGCGCAAUAAUGCGAGACGAGCUCUCCGCCGAAUGCGAAUAGAAUAAUAUUUUGUCUCCUUCCUUCGCG
This 1088-nucleotide long non-coding RNA is filed under the name Oryza brachyantha (malo sina). Its description in RNAcentral is "long non-coding RNA (OBRA_LNC002198)". The record is from RNAcentral. Lineage: Eukaryota; Viridiplantae; Streptophyta; Magnoliopsida; Poales; Poaceae.